This 355-nucleotide long non-coding RNA is filed under the name Dermacentor andersoni. RNAcentral's name for it is "uncharacterized LOC126530279". Lineage: Eukaryota; Metazoa; Arthropoda; Arachnida; Ixodida; Ixodidae. The record is from RNAcentral.
GGACGCACCGCAAUAAUGGAUCACUCCGGCCGCUUUGAGUUAUUGAAUGCCAGCCCAGCAGUGAGUGCUUUGGUGAAUUCCAUGGUUUCUGGAGUGCCAGAAACGCAAGACCCCUCUGGUGCUUGCUCGGCAAAUUCAACCUCUGAGGUGGCACUAACACCCAGUCAAGGACAAUGUCAAGGUGCAAAAAGUUGUAACCGUGGUAAGUUGGUGCUUUGAUGAAUCUUGUGCUGCAGUCUUGGAACUGCUAUGAACUAGAAAUUCUAAUAUACUACGAAACUAGGAGCUAUACUAUGCUAGGAAGUGUCAUACUGAUUUAUGUUUUUCUUGUUUGCAGGCCGUGGUUGUGAGUGGA